Molecule: microRNA precursor, 133 nt
Organism: Corchorus capsularis
Lineage: Eukaryota; Viridiplantae; Streptophyta; Magnoliopsida; Malvales; Malvaceae
Source: Rfam
AAGAAAAGAGCCUGUCAAAUAAGCCAAGGUGACUUGCUUGGGGAGGAAUCCAAACCAGACAGGUUUUGAAACCUGUUGGGGAAGGAAUGAUUGCAGGCAAGUCAUCCUUGGCUACCAAACAGAACUCUUAUCU